AAAUUGAAGAGUUUGAUCAUGGCUCAGAUUGAACGCUGGCGGCAGGCCUAACACAUGCAAGUCGAGCGGAAACGAGUUAUCUGAACCUUCGGGGAACGAUAACGGCGUCGAGCGGCGGACGGGUGAGUAAUGCCUAGGAAAUUGCCCUGAUGUGGGGGAUAACCAUUGGAAACGAUGGCUAAUACCGCAUGAUGCCUACGGGCCAAAGAGGGGGACCUUCGGGCCU
RNAcentral lists this ribosomal RNA (226 nucleotides) under Vibrio alginolyticus. RNAcentral's name for it is "partial 16S ribosomal RNA". It matches the Rfam family "Bacterial small subunit ribosomal RNA", at positions 1 to 215 of the family's 1533-position model. Lineage: Bacteria; Pseudomonadati; Pseudomonadota; Gammaproteobacteria; Vibrionales; Vibrionaceae. RNAcentral also lists the same sequence under 2 other names. The record is from RNAcentral.